RNAcentral lists this ribosomal RNA (490 nucleotides) under uncultured bacterium. Its description in RNAcentral is "partial 16S ribosomal RNA". It matches the Rfam family "Bacterial small subunit ribosomal RNA", at positions 30 to 507 of the family's 1533-position model. The record is from RNAcentral.
AUUGAACGCUGGCGGCAGGCCUAACACAUGCAAGUCGAACGGUAACAGGAAGAAGCUUGCUUCUUUGCUGACGAGUGGCGGACGGGUGAGUAAUGUCUGGGAAACUGCCUGAUGGAGGGGGAUAACUACUGGAAACGGUAGCUAAUACCGCAUAACGUCGCAAGACCAAAGAGGGGGACCUUCGGGCCUCUUACCAUCGGAUGUGCCCAGAUGGGAUUAGCUAGUAGGUGGGGUAACGGCUCACCUAGGCGACGAUCCCUAGCUGGUCUGAGAGGAUGACCAGCCACACUGGAACUGAGACACGGUCCAGACUCCUACGGGAGGCAGCAGUGGGGAAUAUUGCACAAUGGGCGCAAGCCUGAUGCAGCCAUGCCGCGUGUAUGAAGAAGGCCUUCGGGUUGUAAAGUACUUUCAGCGGGGAGGAAGGGAGUAAAGUUAAUACCUUGGCUCAUUGACGUUACCCGCAGAAGAAGCACCGGCUAACUCCGUG